RNA transcript from Sciurus carolinensis (gray squirrel), 4887 nucleotides. It is a transcript of the gene named C-type lectin domain family 2 member D11-like, with no coding region annotated. The record is from RefSeq and is a predicted model, not a curated record. NCBI's taxonomy places the organism in Eukaryota, Metazoa, Chordata, Mammalia, Rodentia, Sciuridae. The transcript has 10 exons.
CUCUCGGAAAGACAUCUGCUUUUCUUUCUUGUUUAAAAGUUUAAUAGGCUUAAUUUAGAGCAGUGUUGUCGUUUGGAUAUGGACAGCCUCCUGUGUCGAACUGUCCCCAACACAGCAAUUUUCAGAGUCCAGGAAGUGGUUGGAUCAUGAGGCCUCAGACUCCUCGGGUCUUUGCUCAGUGAAGACUAUUAAGAGGGGCACAACUGCAGAAGGCAUGGUCGGUUGGUCUCGCGCUCUCUCUCCUUCCUGUCAGCCACGAGGUGAGCAGCUGUGCUCCUCCAGACUCCUGGCUUCACUAAAGGCCCACAGCCAUGGGGGCAAGAGGUUUCUGUGCUCUUCAGCUUCCUGCUCAGCACUAGUGAACUCUCCUGUCUGAGCACCACGAUGACAGAAGCAGAGACUUCAGUGGAAAUGUUAAGGACAGACCUUGAAUUCACAGGUGGCCUGGAGAAAGCAGGACGUGGUAAAACUCUUCAAGGAAACUUUCCACCAGUUUCAUCUCCUGUAACUCCUAUCAGAGUUUAUUAUUGGUGCUUUAUCAUUAUCUUAGUCCUAAUUACAAUUGUCAUUGCACUUCCCAUUAUUUUGUCAGCAAAAACGACCAAGCCAAUCUUAGAGAACCCUGUGUUUGCUACCUGCCCAAAAGAUUGGAUUGGAUUUGGAAGCAAGUGUUUUUAUUUUUCUGACGAUAUAGGGAAUUGGACAUUCAGUCAGACCUUUUGUGCUUCCUUAGAAGCCAGUCUUGUUCAGUUUGAAAGCCAUGAGGAACUGAAUUUCCUGAUAAGAUAUAAAGGCCUUUCUGAUCAUUGGAUUGGCCUUAACAGAGAAUCAUCACAUCACGUUUGGAAGUGGACAGACAAAACUGAAUAUAAAUCCUCGUUGAAACCCUCCAGGAACUGGCAAGACAACAGCUCUGGCCACAAUCAAGACCAAGCCCCACCGGGAUGUGGUUCUAUAUGGGAUAAACAUGGUCCUGGGGAGUAAGAACCAGCUGACACAGGCAGAGGGUGCUUUGUGACUGAAGAAAGAGACAAAUCUGGGACUGCUGAAAGUGCAAUUUAUUGUGGACUUAUGGACAGAAGCAUGUCUGGACAUGGGGCAAGAUACGUAUAUUCCUGCAUCUCAAGCCAGAUGGAAGGAAUUUAUAUGCUAAGCUAAACAUAGAAAGGAAUAACAUUAGAAUAUAAAUGCCAAGAAAAUUCCUCUUCUAAUUAGUAAAUGGAGAUUAUGGACAUUUUCUUUGUGUAAUCAAGUCCUCACCAUCUCAUUUGGAUGGUAAGUAGCGAUCACAGCUGCAAGUUGUUCUUUGCAGGUUGUCUGGCUCAUAUUUCGUUUCUUUGAAAAUCACUAUGAGGCUUCUCAUAAACUUUAUCUCUGACGGACAAAACUGAGCUCUAGAGACCUCUGGUGGGAAAAGGCAAAUAAGGCAAUGAGAAGACUGUCCGCAUGUUGUGCCCUGGAAACUGUGAAGAGCGUUGUCUGUUUCUGCUGCCCUCUGCACCACCUUUCAGGGUCCUCUCCACCUCCCGGUCCAUACCGGAAAACCUUGAGGCUUCUGACCUGAUCUGUUGUCCUCUGCCAGAAUUGCACCUGUCAAAGUCACCAGUGAUCUCCACUUAGUCAAAAUAAGAAUCAGAAUGCCUCCUACCUCAGCCUCUUUCUGGCCUCUGCCUCCCUCGCUGAGAGGCAGCAAGCCUCACUCCCACUUCCAGAUGAAGGUUGGGAGGAGGUAGCAAGAAGUCUGCACUCCAGGAAGGAAAAUGGGUCACAGUUGGGGAAAGAAUUCACAGCUCAACGCUCAGGAAACCCCACCUGCAGAAACCUCUACUUUCACAUCGUGAAACAGAAAUAAACGUGAUGAAGGUAUUAAUAUCUUGGUGGUACUGGGGGGACCGUUUUCGUAUCUACCACAAUCUAAAGUAAACUUCUGCUGGACCUAAUAUUCCUGUGUGCACAAUACCCUUAAAUCCAUCGAGCUGCAAGUUUGAUCUGCAGUCAGCUGUAAAGAUGAUACCAUUACUUCAAAACUAAAUUACAGCGGAGAAGAUAAUUUUCAAGAUAAAAAAUAGGUAAUAUAAAAUCUACCCCUAUAAUAAUAGAAAACUAUUUUUAAGAAAACGCAGGGUUCUGCCUCUUGGGUGGAUUGAGGUGGUGCUCCCUCCACCCAGGAGAAGGAUCGCCUUCUGUAAUUCAACAUAGGAUGGUGCCCUAUUUGCCAAAAGUACCCUCCCAACACGCACACAGGCACCCAGGGGUGCUUUUUCUCAUUUGUACAAAGGACACCAGAGGGCUAGCAGAGAGCUUCUCCCCACCUCUCAGAGUUCACGGAAGCAGGGAUCCAAUUCUCUUCAGUCAUAUCUGGCAAGACGCCUGCAAACCAUAGGCCCCAGAGGUUUACUUGAAGAGGAUGCCUAAAUGACAGACUUUAAACUGUGGAAGGGUCAUGGGGCUGGUUGGUUAUAUAAAGCUCAACUUUUCAAGCCUGGAAGGCCUCUUCUGACUUUGCUGAGAAAGGAAGUGAGUUUGCCAAGAGCAUCCAGUGCACAGGCCUGAGGAUUAUGAUGCAGGGCACAGGCUGCCUGGUGGGAAUCCUCAGCUCUCUUUGACCCUAGGAUGCUAUUCAACUUCUUUGUAUUACAUUUUUGUCUUCUAUAAAAUGAGCCAAAUAAAUAACUGUAGCUAUCAUCUACAGUUUUGUUUUGCUCUCAUGCUUGUCCAAAGGGCUGAAAUCACCCAGGAGUCAGAGUUUGUGCUCCAGUGAAGGACUACCUCAGAGUCCCGUGGGAAAGGAGGUCACCAGUCACCUUAGACUACUUGCACCUCAAAGGCUAGACAACUGGAUUGAUAAAAAUCCAUUUGCUUCUUAGAUAAAAAAAAAAAAAACAUCCAAUUUACAGAUGAUUACAAAUCUAAGCAAAAACCCUCAACUGAAAUUACAAGAGCAUAUAUACUGAGAACUGGAAUUACUCAUUUUAAACAAAAAAAUCUCACUAUGGGAAUGAAGCAUCAGGGGCACAGAGCAAUGGAGAGUUACAUUAUUAGACCAUGCAGUGGCUGAUCUUCUGGAAUCUACUCCAGAUGGAUUAGAGAUACUGGUACAACUCUAUCUGUGCCAAAUUUGUAGAUACAACCAAUACCUCAGAGCUAAAACUUAAAGAUUUGAAACCUCCUCCUUCUGACAAAAACAAAACAAAACAAAACAAAACAAAAUCCCAAAAUUUAAGAACCAUCUGCAUCCACCAAGAGAGUCAACACUGCUCCUAAUCCUGUGAAAUACUGUGUAGAGGUAGAAGGUUAUCAUGCUGCUUCCUCCAAAGCAAUCUCUGUCUCUUUUAUGUGGAAUAAUUAACUUUGGUCCACAAUCUCAUUUUAAAAAAAACAGUGAUGACAUCUGUCAGAAACUUGUACACAUUUCCACUCCUCCAAUAACUAAAAAUGGCCUCUUCUCAAUUGUGCUAAAUCUGGACACUGAAAAUUUUCAGUUCCUCAUUAGUGUACCUGGGUUCUGUUUCUUCUCCUUUUAUUGUAGGGGAAAGGUCACAGUCUUACAACCUGUGGUGCUCCUUGUGAGUCACCCAGUGACUGCCAAGCCUCCUGUCAGUACAGAGGAAGGGCAGAGUAGUUCUGUCAAUAAACUAAGAGACAUCCCAAAACUCAGGAAAAUAGCUCCUCUUAUAAUGAACAGUAAUAGCAACCACUGCACCCUGCUGCUUGACCACCAUUUAUCCAAACUUCUUUUACAUUCCCAAGGUCCAGCCCAGAACAGAUGUGAUAGUUUUCUGCCUGCAGUCCACUCUGGAGAGGUUGCUGCCAAACUGAGUACAGUUACUCUUCCUUGAAAUAUAGUAUCUCUGAACCGAUGAUCAAGAUUAAUAUCCUUUGAUGCACAGGGCGGCUAUUAAAUGUUGACUCUCCACUUCCCUAACCAACUACACACACACACACACACACACACACACACACACACUGAAUUAAAAUAUAAGAAUUGGUGCUAGGUCUUUUAAUACCUAAAGAGUAAUUAUCACUAUUGGUAAUUAAUAGUCAUCCUGCUUUAGAACUUCAUGAAAAGGUAUAAUUGACUUUCUUUUCCUUAAAUGAGAAAUAAUCACCUGUUGUUGAUUUCAUUUGCUGCUUUAUUGAUCACCUUGCAUGUUCUACAACAGUGACUUCAACAAAAGGAUAAAGAAAGAUUUUAGUUGUAAGGUUCAUUAAUAGCUAAGUGAGCAUACAUCCAAUGUUUGCUAACUCAUUCCCAUUCCUUAAGUACAAAUGCUUAUAAGUAUGUUAAAGAUUAUUUUAUGGUGAAAUAAGGAUCUGGAAAACCACAGAUGCAAAAUGACGGGUUUAGUUUAACUCUGUUUCAAUGAUGAAUUAUUUAGUGUGGAAGAUUUAUUUUAUAUUUUAUUACCAAAUUAAUGUCUAAUUAAUGGAAGUUUUAGAGUUCUUUAAAAUAUUAUUAGUUUGUAAUAUUUGAUCUUUAUAACUUUAGAACUUGAAUUGCAUAAGGAGAAUUUCAAAUUAGUAUUUUCUGUAUUUGACUUUCUUUUUGAUAAAUUCUAUGUCAAAAGGUCUUAAAAGAAAUGUCUGAAAAUUACUCUAUUACAAUAAUUAUUUCACAGUUGAUAUGUAGAAAAGAAUAAGGGUUAUUUUUUAUCCAUCUGAAAAAAUUAAAAGACUAUUUGGGGUUUCAGAAAUUCUGAUUUUGAUUCUAGUAAAAUGAUAAAGUAAAAUCAUUUUGUAGGUAUACAAUGAAUACCAGCUCUUCCUGGCAAAUGUCACAAACCUAGAUAUUAUAAAGAACAAAGAGAAUAAAUGUUUUGCAAAUUAAAUUUUUUAAUAUUAGUAUCUGGUCCUACAUAAUAAUGUCAUUUUAUCACUUCAUUAGAA